GGGGAUGACAGGCUUCGACGGGGAAGGCUGGUCACAGAUGGCAAGCCGGGGCGCUCUAACCCCGUGAACAAUGGAGCAAAACUGUAAAGUGCCAAGAACACUUUCAACUAUAUGUUUGCCCCUCAGGCGCUGGCCCAGGCGCCUUUGGCUGCCUAGCCUAGUCUGAGCGCAAACACGACCCCACAGAGGGUCACGUCCGCCUCGGCCUUUCGCCAGCGGGUCGAGGGUCGGGCGUCACAAGGUUGGCGUGCUGUGUCCUGACGCCGAUAGGGCACUCAAGAGGGAGUUUCGGCUCCCAUCGGCUCGACCUGGUGCAGCGCGGUUGGCCGUGUCUCGCCAGGUGACCCCAUAAGAGCCAACUAAGCUUGUAGGCAUCUCUGAUCGAAUUCUUCGGACGCGGGUUCGAUUCCCGCCAUCUCCACCU
RNAcentral lists this transfer-messenger RNA (424 nucleotides) under Anaerolineae. RNAcentral's name for it is "DSDT01 sp011048615 Standard tmRNA". It matches the Rfam family "transfer-messenger RNA". Rfam says of the family: Bacterial tmRNA, also known as 10Sa RNA or SsrA, is named for its dual tRNA and mRNA-like properties. Its role is to liberate the mRNA from a stalled ribosome. The record is from RNAcentral. RNAcentral also lists the same sequence under 1 other name. Lineage: Bacteria; Bacillati; Chloroflexota.